Molecule: long non-coding RNA, 202 nt
Filed under: Medicago truncatula (barrel medic)
Lineage: Eukaryota; Viridiplantae; Streptophyta; Magnoliopsida; Fabales; Fabaceae
Description: long non-coding RNA (MTRU_LNC007565)
Source: RNAcentral
CAAGAAUAGUUGCAGUCGUGAGUGGAUUCUCUCACGUGUGUCUUAGGUGGUCUGAUACGUAACAGGAUGAGAAUUUUGUUGUUGCUUUCUAUUCCUUACGUAUUAUUCUAUGAACUUUCAUGAACAUGUUGUUGGAAUAAAUUUUAUGAGAUUUUACGUUGAGGCCUGUGUGCCAAAGUUGUUUAAAUGUUGAAUAAUUUCC